CUAAUAAUUAGAAAUUUCUAUAUGUGGCAUCCUAGUAUUGACAAGGAUGUCUACAAAGCAUGCUAUGUGCGAUGCUCUCUCCGGUACAGGGACAUAAUGAACAAGCUCAAAAAUAAAGAGAGAGAGCAAUUAGAGCAACAAGAAAGAGAGCGGGUUGAGAGGGAGAGUUAGGGCUUGGAGUUAGAGGAAGAAAAAGAAUCGUAUUCCUCAGAUUUUACCCCAUCAGAGUUCUGGAGUGCCUUGAAAAAUUACUCUGAUGCCUCGGAGUUUAAGGCCAAAGCUCUUGGGGUAAGAGUAACAAGCACAAAGGGGACUCCGAUGCACCACCGCUACCUACCUACCGUGAUGGUCCCAUUUCUGCAGCGCGAUUGCGCGAAAGGAUGAGACGCCACUUCUAUUUGCCUUCUUCAACUGGUAAAUUUUUUUGAUUCAAUUCUAAAUCUUUUUGCAAAGAGAAUGGUUUUUUAUCUGCCUAUCUUUUUUUUCUCUCCACUCUAGCAAUUCCUUUUUUAACUCGCCUUCAUUAGGCUUUCGAGUAGUGCAAUUGGGGGAUGCUUUGGUAAAUGAGUAGAGUUAAUUGUGGAUGUAAAGCACUGCAUCAUCUUCUGGACUGUGCCUCAAGUUCGAGUUGAACAUUAACUGCACAUUACCUAUAUGAGUUCUAGUUGAACAUUUUCUAGUGGGAAGAUUCAUUUAAGGCUAAUUUUUAGUUUUUCAAAUGGAACUUCAAUGACGGGAAUAUGCUAGCAGGCGAGCAAUGACUAUGUUACCGUGUUUCUCACCUCGUCGUGAAGUUGUAGGCAAUUUUUUGUUGGUGAAGUUGAAACUACAUCUUUUGUUUCACAGCUUGUACUCAAAGCUAAAGAAAAUCUUGUCUCUCUUGACAAAAAUUACCGCGCUAUUCGUAUACCUUCUAAAGUGAAAGCAAAGUCUUAGUUCAUGAGGCAUGAGAACAUAAUGUGAUUGAACAAAAUAACCUGUUUCCAUUGAAUGAAAGGAUGGGAACUAAAUGACUACCUACAACAAUUUGUAUUAUUGAUGGCUAAUUACAAUAAAUUGAACUUAUAUAAAGGCAAUUUUAUUUUUGUGAAAUUUUUUUUUUUAAGAGGUGUAUAUAGAAGUAGGAAGUACGUACAAGUUUAGAAGCUGAGUCUUGUGCUUAUUCUGUAUUAGAAGUAAAGUUGAUUCAAAUUUGUUGUAAUAUCUUUGUAUGGAGUACUCAGGUACUCUUCUGAGCAUCAAAUUGAGGAAUCAAACAAACUUGAUCAACUACAUGGGAAAUUUCCACGUGAGCAAAAGUCAUGAAGAAAAAUUGUUAUAUUUGUGGCAUAAAAUAGCAUUAAGAACUCAUAAGCCAUAAUCAGCACUAAGUUUUGUAUAUACUCUCAAUGUCCCUGUGAAAAAUGAGAAUUAAUUUUGAAUUUUGUUAUUGAUCUUGUGAUGUUUUGAUAGUGAUUAAUAUAUUUCUUUAAAUUGUUUAUUUAUUUGCUAAUUUUAAAUUGACUUACUUUUGCAAAUGAGAGAUAAAUGGGAAAGACAUUACCUUUGGUGGCUGAAGCUUGGCAACCACAACGCCAACUUAAUAACCCUACUAGAGAAUCAAUACGAGACAUGUGAGGGCGCUUACAAGCUCUUGAAGAGAUAUGCCAAGUGCCAACAAUUACGGAAUGCAUUACAAGGUGAAAGUAGUAAUGCAAGCCGUGGAUCAGGAGUAGGUGGUCGUCAAGGUUUGGGAGGUGAUAUGGGUGGUAGCCCUGGUGGAUCUAGUGGUUCUCGAGGAUCACAUAAUACCCGAGGUGGUGGUAGUCACUCUAGCCGUGGUGGUUAUUUUAAAGU
This is a long non-coding RNA of Amaranthus tricolor (Joseph's coat), 1836 nucleotides long. RefSeq lists it as uncharacterized. Lineage: Eukaryota; Viridiplantae; Streptophyta; Magnoliopsida; Caryophyllales; Amaranthaceae. The transcript is spliced from 3 exons. The record is from RefSeq and is a predicted model, not a curated record.